CCCCCUCGCCCCCACCUUCCAAUCUCUUAAUCUUAUUUGAAUAUGUUGUGGUCUCUGGGCUGCUGCAGACACUGGGUGACUGGGAGACCCUUGCGGCUUCGUUUCAAUUUGGCGUGAGUGGGUACAAGCCUUCUACAAUUCGUCUCGCACACGCCAGUUAAAAAGCCAGAGUCAGAAGGAGCAGAGAGUUCCACAACUUCAAAGCACGGUCUAGGAAAGGAAAUAAUCCGGGGGUCCCGAGUAGGAGAGGGGAGGGGGCAGGAAAAAAAAGGGGGGGGGAAUAAAACCCAACUUCGCUGGCAACUCCAAUAAAUCUAGUAACUGUUGGCAAAAAAAAAAAAAAAUUAGAUUCCGAGGGAGGGCUGGGUCUGGUCCGGAUGAAACGCUAGGGCUCCUUCCCAUGCCGGAGACGGGCGCUGGAAGCCUGCCACUGGCGUUCUGCCACGCGAGUGCCCCCAGACAGGAACACACCCACUGGAAACGCACGUGAACAAAGCUCGCUGCCCGGGAGCCGCCGCCUGCGGUUUGCUCGUGGAUCACAGCUUCUCCAGGGAGGAGAGCAGGGCGUGCACAGGGUUAAGUUAGCUCCCUCCCCGGGAGGAGGGACAGGCGGCGGAGGGGGAAGGCAGCUCUCAGUCUCAGGCUGGGUACCUACGAGUUAGUUGUACGUUCGAAACCCUUCGCCGUCGCUUGCGAGGGUGGCAUCUUCCAGUCCUACCGCGGAGGAACCGGGGAGCCGGGAGAGCAUUCCAGCGGCCGCGCGGUCCCUGCCCCGGGGGGAUGGUCUUUGGCCUGCGGUCCCGCGCGUCCAGAAGCCGAGACGCGUCAGCUCCGCGCCCGCCGCCGCGUCCACCCAGCCCGGGGAUCGGGUUGGCAGUUCUCAACGAUGGGCAGGAGGGACCUUGGCGGCGACCCCUAAAAUAAUACCAUGCCCCGGGAGCCCCGCUGCUGUGGAGCCAGCUCCUUCCCUUCCCACCUCCCCGACCCUGUCGGAUUCGGAUGAGCGCAGUGCGAGGAGCUGCGGCCGCCAGAUUGCAGAUUGAGCUUAACCAAGAAGCUCGUGGGCUGAUCCACGCUGACCUGCCUGACCACGGAAGAGGUUCUGUCGGCCUGGCUGGGCCCCUCUUGGCUUCACUUGUUGCCUGGGUGGAAAAUUCUUCCUAUUGAAAUAUUUUUGCACAUGGAGGACAACAGCAAAGAGGCCAACACAGGCUGAGAAGACCAGAGACCUCAAGAAUAUUCUUUGACCUUGGCCUUCAGGACAUUUCCUCUAGUUGGAGUUCUGGACUUGAGAACCCUGUUCAAUUAUUUUGGUUUAGCUAUCUGUUUCUAUUUUUUAUUUUUUUACUUUUCUUUUCCCUACGGUAUUGUGU
This 1373-nucleotide long non-coding RNA is filed under the name Bos mutus (wild yak). RNAcentral's name for it is "lncRNA (ENSBMUG00000020615.1)". The record is from RNAcentral. Lineage: Eukaryota; Metazoa; Chordata; Mammalia; Artiodactyla; Bovidae.